Molecule: ribosomal RNA, 482 nt
Filed under: uncultured bacterium
Lineage: Bacteria
Description: partial 16S ribosomal RNA
Rfam family: Bacterial small subunit ribosomal RNA
Source: RNAcentral
AUUGAACGCUGGCGGCAUGCCUUACACAUGCAAGUCGAACGGUAACAGGUCUUCGGAUGCUGACGAGUGGCGAACGGGUGCGUAAUACAUCGGAACGUGCCCGAUCGUGGGGGAUAACGGAGCGAAAGCUUUGCUAAUACCUCAUACGAUCUACGGAUGAAAGCAGGGGACCGCAAGGCCUUGCGCGGACGGAGCGGCCGAUGGCAGAUUAGGUAGUUGGUGGGAUAAAAGCUUACCAAGCCGACGAUCUGUAGCUGGUCUGAGAGGACGACCAGCCACACUGGGACUGAGACACGGCCCAGACUCCUACGGGAGGCAGCAGUGGGGAAUUUUGGACAAUGGGCGAAAGCCUGAUCCAGCCAUGCCGCGUGCAGGAUGAAGGCCUUCGGGUUGUAAACUGCUUUUGUACGGAACGAAAAGACUCUUUCUAAUAAAGAGGGUCCAUGACGGUACCGUAAGAAUAAGCACCGGCUAACUACGUG